AUAUAUAUAUAUAACGUGAAUUUAUUAAUAUAAUAUUUUUAUGUUAAUUUUUUUGAAAAGCGAACGAAAAAGAAUUCAAAUACCAUUAGAAGAUAAUUCUCUUUUAUAAAACAAUCGUCUCUCGAUUCUCGAAACAUCGAUGCUAUCGACACAUCGAUAAGGAGAGUAGUAGGUGGCGCCACUGUAGACUACAACGACGGUGGUUUUCACGAUGGCCGACGAGGAACGUGCCGUCCUCUUGAAGCUCGUACACGGCGAGGACAAUUUAUCGGGCUGACAACACCCGUCGUUAUACGCGAUUAUUAAAAUUUCGUUAAGUUAGAAAAUCGUGGGUGAGAUUAAUUAUCAUUGGAGAGAUAGGAACGUCGAUGGUUUCGAGAUAAUAAAAAAAAAA
Long non-coding RNA from Vespa mandarinia (Asian giant hornet), 394 nucleotides. RefSeq lists it as uncharacterized. The record is from RefSeq and is a predicted model, not a curated record. NCBI's taxonomy places the organism in Eukaryota, Metazoa, Arthropoda, Insecta, Hymenoptera, Vespidae.